This 513-nucleotide ribosomal RNA is filed under the name uncultured bacterium. Its description in RNAcentral is "partial 16S ribosomal RNA". It matches the Rfam family "Bacterial small subunit ribosomal RNA", at positions 28 to 523 of the family's 1533-position model. The record is from RNAcentral.
GACGAACGCUGGCGGCAUGCCUAAUACAUGCAAGUCGAGCGAACAGAUGAAGUGCUUGCACUUCUGACGUUAGCGGCGAACGGGUGAGUAACACGUAAGGAAUCUACCUAUAAGCGGGGGAUAACAUUCGGAAACGGGUGCUAAUACCGCAUAAUAUCUUCUUCCGCAUGGAAGAAGAUUGAAAGACGGCUCUGCUGUCACUUAUAGAUGACCUUGCGGUGCAUUAGUUAGUUGGUGGGGCAAUGGCCUACCAAGACGAUGAUGCAUAGCCGACCUGAGCGGGUGAUCGGCCACCGUGGGACUGAGACACGGCCCAAACUCCUACGGGAGGCAGCAGUAGGGAAUCUUCCGCAAUGGGCGAAAGCCUGACGGAGCAAUGCCGCGUGAGUGAAGAAGGCCUUCGGGUCGUAAAACUCUGUUAUAAGAGAAGAACAAAUUGUAGAGUAACUGCUACAGUCUUGACGGUAUCUUAUCAGAAAGCCACGGCUAACUACGUGCCAGCCGCCGCAGUAA